UGAAAAAGGGUCAGGAAAGUUGGACUUGC
RNAcentral lists this non-coding RNA (29 nucleotides) under Mus musculus (house mouse). Lineage: Eukaryota; Metazoa; Chordata; Mammalia; Rodentia; Muridae. The record is from RNAcentral.